RNAcentral lists this ribosomal RNA (1372 nucleotides) under uncultured bacterium. RNAcentral's name for it is "bacterial SSU rRNA". It matches the Rfam family "Bacterial small subunit ribosomal RNA", at positions 28 to 1381 of the family's 1533-position model. The record is from RNAcentral.
GAUGAACGCUGGCGGCGUGCCUAAUACAUGCAAGUCGAGCGAACGGACGAGAAGCUUGCUUCUCUGAUGUUAGCGGCGGACGGGUGAGUAACACGUGGAUAACCUACCUAUAAGACUGGGAUAACUUCGGGAAACCGGAGCUAAUACCGGAUAAUAUUUUGAACCGCAUGGUUCAAAAGUGAAAGACGGUCUUGCUGUCACUUAUAGAUGGAUCCGCGCUGCAUUAGCUAGUUGGUAAGGUAACGGCUUACCAAGGCAACGAUGCAUAGCCGACCUGAGAGGGUGAUCGGCCACACUGGAACUGAGACACGGUCCAGACUCCUACGGGAGGCAGCAGUAGGGAAUCUUCCGCAAUGGGCGAAAGCCUGACGGAGCAACGCCGCGUGAGUGAUGAAGGUCUUCGGAUCGUAAAACUCUGUUAUUAGGGAAGAACAUAUGUGUAAGUAACUGUGCACAUCUUGACGGUACCUAAUCAGAAAGCCACGGCUAACUACGUGCCAGCAGCCGCGGUAAUACGUAGGUGGCAAGCGUUAUCCGGAAUUAUUGGGCGUAAAGCGCGCGUAGGCGGUUUUUUAAGUCUGAUGUGAAAGCCCACGGCUCAACCGUGGAGGGUCAUUGGAAACUGGAAAACUUGAGUGCAGAAGAGGAAAGUGGAAUUCCAUGUGUAGCGGUGAAAUGCGCAGAGAUAUGGAGGAACACCAGUGGCGAAGGCGACUUUCUGGUCUGUAACUGACGCUGAUGUGCGAAAGCGUGGGGAUCAAACAGGAUUAGAUACCCUGGUAGUCCACGCCGUAAACGAUGAGUGCUAAGUGUUAGGGGGUUUCCGCCCCUUAGUGCUGCAGCUAACGCAUUAAGCACUCCGCCUGGGGAGUACGACCGCAAGGUUGAAACUCAAAGGAAUUGACGGGGGCCCGCACAAGCGGUGGAGCAUGUGGUUUAAUUCGAAGCAACGCGAAGAACCUUACCAAAUCUUGACAUCCUUUGACAACUCUAGAGAUAGAGCUUUCCCCUUCGGGGGACAAAGUGACAGGUGGUGCAUGGUUGUCGUCAGCUCGUGUCGUGAGAUGUUGGGUUAAGUCCCGCAACGAGCGCAACCCUUAAGCUUAGUUGCCAUCAUUAAGUUGGGCACUCUAAGUUGACUGCCGGUGACAAACCGGAGGAAGGUGGGGAUGACGUCAAAUCAUCAUGCCCCUUAUGAUUUGGGCUACACACGUGCUACAAUGGACAAUACAAAGGACAGCGAAACCGCGAGGUCAAGCAAAUCCCAUAAAGUUGUUCUCAGUUCGGAUUGUAGUCUGCAACUCGACUACAUGAAGCUGGAAUCGCUAGUAAUCGUAGAUCAGCAUGCUACGGUGAAUACGUUCCCGGGUCU